UGCCAUUUUACUUUGGGAAUUUUCUCCUUCUCUUCCACUUUUCGAGACAACAUUUUACAUUAGUAUCUUCACUGCUAAUUUAGUGGCUUUACAAGAUUGCUGGCAGUUUCAACAUUAAUAGAUGGAAACUUACAAAUCCUUUGUGGGGGAUGCAAUGUUGAUAGCAACAUCAAUUUCCCCCGAACAUGAUUUGUGUUACUCUCACUCUUCAAAAUAUUGAUGGGAGCAUGUCGAAUUUUCCAAAGUACUGUAUUUUUUGGAGAAUUCAAUACGGGUGUGGUAUCAAAUGUGAGGAGUCCGUGCAACUUAGAAUCUAUCUAUG
Molecule: long non-coding RNA, 322 nt
Organism: Capsicum annuum
Lineage: Eukaryota; Viridiplantae; Streptophyta; Magnoliopsida; Solanales; Solanaceae
Exons: 3
Source: RefSeq, a predicted model, not a curated record